RNAcentral lists this ribosomal RNA (465 nucleotides) under uncultured bacterium. RNAcentral describes it as "partial 16S ribosomal RNA". It matches the Rfam family "Bacterial small subunit ribosomal RNA", at positions 338 to 795 of the family's 1533-position model. The record is from RNAcentral.
CCUACGGGUGGCAGCAGUAGGGAAUUUUCGUCAAUGGGCGCAAGCCUGAACGAGCGAUGCCGCGUGAGUGAAGAAGGCCUUCGGGUCGUAAAGCUCUGUUGCGGGGGAAAAAAGGCAGCAUCAGGAAAUGGGUGCUGCCUGCUGGUGCCCCGCCAGAAAGUCACGGCGAAAUACGGUCCAGCAGCCGCGGUAAUACGUAGGGGGCGAGCGUUAUCCGGAAUGAUUGGGCGUAAAGGGUGCGCAGGCGGUCCUGCAAGUCUGGAGUGAAACGCAUGGGCUCAACUCAUGCAUGGCUUUGGAAACUGGAGGACUGGAGAGCAGGAGAGGGCGGUGGAACUCCAGGUGUAGCGGUAAAAUGCGUAGAUAUAUGGAAGAACACCAGUGGCGAAGGCGGCCGCCUGGCCUGUUACUGACGCUGAGGCACGAAAGCGUGGGGAGCAAACAGGAUUAGAUACCCGUGUAGUC